This 1448-nucleotide long non-coding RNA is filed under the name Nicotiana tabacum (common tobacco). Its description in RNAcentral is "long non-coding RNA (NTAB_LNC006705)". Lineage: Eukaryota; Viridiplantae; Streptophyta; Magnoliopsida; Solanales; Solanaceae. The record is from RNAcentral.
GCGAAAGUUGCGCGAACGCAUACUCCGAUUUUGUUUUUAGAGAUCGCAAUCAUGUCACGCGAACGUGUCCACAAUCACAAUGAUAAUAUCAAAUAUUAAAUAAUAGAUGGAGUAAAAGAAAAUGCAUUAAAAUAUAAGAAAAGCCGAUUAAGACUUAUGCAAUUCUACGAUGCACUACCUUGACAAAAACUUAUAAAAUCCACUUAAACCAAGUCAAAUACUCCCGAGACUAUCCAAAAAAAAAUUCUGAUGCACAGAAUGAUAAAUUCUCUUCAACAUUGUAAAUGAGCACAUGUGCUCGUGAAAUGGAUAAUGUUAAAUGCCUAUGACACAACUAAUUCGAUCCACUCAACAUAUAACAAUAUUAAUUUUCCAAUGAAGUGGUAAUUUAAUAAUCCAAGAGAAAGAAGCUUAGCACAGACGUGUAUUGCGAAUCACACUUCAACAAAAUUCACACCCCUGCUCCGUACAACUCAAGCCAUCGUAUGUGAAUCACAAUUCCAGAUGCAUACCCUUUACAUAAAAUUAAAGUGAUAGGUGAGAACAACUACUUCAUGAAGGGAUUAAUUAAGCCUCUUUAGCUUUCCGUGUAAACGAGUCCCAGCUAAUAUCUCUUCCAUUAACAAUGAUUUCAAACAAAAAUUUUAUCAACUAUGAGUGUCUCAUAAAUUGCUUGAAUUAGCUCACAUGUAACUAUUGACUCGACAGAGAUCACCAUGAACCUAACCAAAACAUCAAAAGUGAUUAUUUUAUUUUUUAUGAACUAAUCAAAAAGAAAAAAAAGAAAUCAUAAACUAAGGAGGAGAGUAGCGAGAUGGACCUGGAAAUAUUUCACAAUUAAUUUGCUGAAAGUGAUUACAAGACAAUCCAGCAACAAACUCGAACACAAGACCGAAAUGGCAAUAGGAGAACUCUGUCGUGAACCUCGAACUUGGAUGACAACUCCAACUGAUUUUACACUUCAGAUGCUUGGGACGUUUUGAAGCUCACAAACAACAGGAACGCAACUAGAACCUCGGUAGACGACAGGCUGGUCGAGCUGCGUCGGAGAAAACUCAAAUCGCACCGACGAACCCGAACUCUACAUCGACCUGGAGAAACCGAAGCUCAAAAAGCUGACUGGAAUUGAAACUUGGUGUGUUUUGGGGUCUACAGCUGAGCUGAUUUUAAAGCUGGUUUCAUGAGUUUUUACAUGGUAUUUUGGAGGUUCUCUAAUGGAGGUUUAGAGGGGGUGGUCGGCUGGUUUGUGUCCGUUUUUUGGUUUUUGUAUGUGUGUGUGUUUCUCGCUGGGAUGAGGGUCCUCGUCUAUGUGUUCCGGCGAGUCGCCGCUGGCGGGGAGACGGGGAAUGGAGGGUUGUUUUGGGGUGGGGUUUUGCUGGUCGAAGAAGAAGAGAACGUUUAGGGUGGGGGUCUAUCUUUGCGCAGCUGCUCGUUCUUUUUGUUCCUAG